Molecule: ribosomal RNA, 1348 nt
Filed under: uncultured bacterium
Lineage: Bacteria
Description: bacterial SSU rRNA
Rfam family: Bacterial small subunit ribosomal RNA
Source: RNAcentral
CCUAGUGAUUAGAGUUUGAUCAUGGCUCAGAACGUACGCUGGCGGCACGCCUAAUACAUGCAAGUCGAACGAAGUAGCAAUACUUAGUGGCAGACGGGUGAGUAACAUGUAGGUAUCUUCCCAUUGGUGAGGAAUAACACGAGGAAACUUGUGCUAAUACCUCAUAAGUCUUUACGGAGAAAGCUUUAUGCGCCGAUGGAUGAGCCUGCACUUGAUUAGUUUGUUGGUAGGGUAAUGGCCUACCAAGACAAUGAUCAAUAGCUGAUUUGAGAGGAUGAUCAGCCACAUUGGGACUGAGACACGGCCCGAACUCCUACGGGAGGCAGCAGUAGGGAAUCUUGCACAAUGGGGGAAACCCUGAUGCAGCGAUGCCGCGUGAGUGAAGAAGGCCUUUGGGUUGUAAAGCUCUUUCGUCGGGGAAGAAAAUGACUGUACCCGAAUAAGAAGGUCCGGCUAACUUCGUGCCAGCAGCCGCGGUAAUACGAAGGGACCUAGCGUAGUUCGGAAUUACUGGGCUUAAAGAGUUCGUAGGUGGUUAAAAAAGUUGGUGGUGAAAUCCCAGAGCUUAACUCUGGAACUGCCAUCAAAACUUUUUAGCUAGAGUAUGAUAGAGGAAAGCAGAAUCUCUAGUGUAGAGGUGAAAUUCGUAGAUAUUAGAAAGAAUACCAAUUGCGAAGGCAGCUUUCUGGAUCAUUACUGACACUGAGGAACGAAAGCAUGGGUAGCGAAGAGGAUUAGAUACCCUCGUAGUCCAUGCCGUAAACGAUGUGUGUUAGACGUUGGAAAUUUAUUUUCUGUGUCGCAGCGAAAGCAAUAAACACACCGCCUGGGGAGUACGACCGCAAGGUUAAAACUCAAAUGAAUUGACGGGGACCCGCACAAGUAGUGGAGCAUGUGGUUUAAUUCGAAGAUACGCGCAGAACCUUACCAACACUUGACAUGUUCGUCGCGACUUUAAGAGAUUAAAGUUUUCGGUUCGGCCGGACGAAACACAGGUGCUGCAUGGCUGUCGUCAGCUCGUGUCGUGAGAUGUUGGGUUAAGUCCCGCAACGAGCGCAACCCUCACUUUUAGUUGCCAUCAUUAAGUUGGGCACUCUGAAAGAACUGCCAGUGAUAAGCUGGAGGAAGGUGGGGAUGACGUCAAGUCCUCAUGGCCCUUACGUGUUGGGCUACACACGUGCUACAAUGGCAUUUACAAUAGGAAGCAAAACGGCGACGUUAAGCAAAUCCUAAAAAAAUGCCUCAGUUCGGAUUGUACUCAGCAACUCGAGUACAUGAAGCUGGAAUUACUAGUAAUCGCGGAUCAGCGCGCCGCGGUGAAUACGUUCCCGGGUCUUGUACACACCGC